RNAcentral lists this transfer RNA (75 nucleotides) under Candidatus Woesearchaeota archaeon. RNAcentral describes it as "tRNA-Ile". It matches the Rfam family "tRNA". From Rfam's summary of the family: Transfer RNA (tRNA) molecules are approximately 80 nucleotides in length. Their secondary structure includes four short double-helical elements and three loops (D, anti-codon, and T loops). The record is from RNAcentral. Lineage: Archaea; Nanobdellati; Candidatus Woesearchaeota.
GGGCCCGUAGCUCAGCCUGGUUAGAGCGCCGGUCUUAUAAGCCGGAGGUCGUUGGUUCAAAUCCUAUCGGGCCCA